GACGAACGCUGGCGGCGUGCUUAACACAUGCAAGUCGAACGGAAAGGCCCUGCUUGCAGGGUCCUCGAGUGGCGAACGGGUGAGUAACACGUGGGUGAUCUGCCCUGCACUUCGGGAUAAGCCUGGGAAACUGGGUCUAAUACCGGAUAGGAGCCAUUUUUAGUGUGAUGGUUGGAAAGUUUUUUCGGUGUAGGAUGAGCUCGCGGCCUAUCAGCUUGUUGGUGGGGUAAUGGCCUACCAAGGCGGCGACGGGUAGCCGGCCUGAGAGGGUGGACGGCCACAUUGGGACUGAGAUACGGCCCAGACUCCUACGGGAGGCAGCAGUGGGGAAGAUUGCACAAUGGGCGCAAGCCUGAUGCAGCGACGCCGCGUGGGGGAUGACGGCCUUCGGGUUGUAAACUCCUUUCGCUAGGGACGAAGCUUUUUGUGACGGUACCUAGAUAAGAAGCACCGGCUAACUACGUG
This 465-nucleotide ribosomal RNA is filed under the name uncultured bacterium. RNAcentral's name for it is "partial 16S ribosomal RNA". It matches the Rfam family "Bacterial small subunit ribosomal RNA", at positions 28 to 507 of the family's 1533-position model. The record is from RNAcentral.